Molecule: long non-coding RNA, 217 nt
Organism: Pseudophryne corroboree (corroboree frog)
Lineage: Eukaryota; Metazoa; Chordata; Amphibia; Anura; Myobatrachidae
Exons: 3
Source: RefSeq, a predicted model, not a curated record
ACAAGACCUCAUAAAUCGUUAUUUUUAAGCAUCUUACACACAAUGUGCUACUGUAUGGCUGAAGUGGACAUACAUAUAUUUACAGGAUGUGGACAAGGCCAUUUCUGUAGGAUUACAUUUCAUGUUUUACUGACUUCGUUUGAUACUCACAAUCAAGAUGAGGGGAGUGUGGUUCACGUCUUGGAGGUGUGUCCAAAAUUUGGAGUGGGGGGACCGA